UACGGAGGGGGCUAGCGUUGUUCGGAAUUACUGGGCGUAAAGCGCGCGUAGGCGGCUCUGUAAGUUAGAGGUGAAAGCCCGGAGCUCAACUCCGGAACUGCCUUUAAGACUGCAUCGCUAGAACGUCGGAGAGGUAAGUGGAAUUCCGAGUGUAGAGGUGAAAUUCGUAGAUAUUCGGAAGAACACCAGUGGCGAAGGCGACUUACUGGACGACUGUUGACGCUGAGGUGCGAAAGCGUGGGGAGCAAACAGG
This 253-nucleotide ribosomal RNA is filed under the name uncultured bacterium. RNAcentral describes it as "partial 16S ribosomal RNA". It matches the Rfam family "Bacterial small subunit ribosomal RNA", at positions 524 to 776 of the family's 1533-position model. The record is from RNAcentral.